This 470-nucleotide ribosomal RNA is filed under the name uncultured Methanomicrobiales archaeon. RNAcentral's name for it is "bacterial SSU rRNA". It matches the Rfam family "Archaeal small subunit ribosomal RNA", at positions 871 to 1337 of the family's 1478-position model. Lineage: Archaea; Methanobacteriati; Methanobacteriota; Methanomicrobia; Methanomicrobiales. The record is from RNAcentral.
ACGGGGAGCACCACAACAGGUGGAGCCUGCGGUUUAAUCGGACUCAACGCCGGGAAAACUCACCAGAUAAGACAGCUGAAUGAUAGUCGGGCUGAAGACUCUACUUGACUAGCUGAGAGGAGGUGCAUGGCCGUCGUCAGUUCGUACUGUGAAGCAUCCUGUUAAGUCAGGCAACGAGCGAGACCCACGCCAACAGUUGCCAGCUCGCCUCCGGGAUGGUGGGGACACUGUUGGGACCGCCUCUGCUAAAGAGGAGGAAGGAAUGGGCAACGGUAGGUCAGCAUGCCCCGAAUUAUCUGGGCUACACGCGGGCUACAAUGGGUGGGACAAUGGGUAUCGACACCGAAAGGUGAAGGCAAUCUCCUAAACCCAUCCGUAGUUCGGAUUGUGGGCUGCAACUCGCCCACAUGAAGCUGGAAUCUGUAGUAAUCGUGUCUCAAAAUGGCACGGUGAAUAUGUCCCUGCUCCUU